AGCUCGGGACUGUCACUCAGUGAUGGAUGAUUCUACCCCAACGCGAUCAAUUCGCCUACCACGCGCGUGUACAUGCCUCGGGGGUGAAACUCACCCUUCGUGCUCUUUCCCUUCGCCCUGUCGCGAAUCGCGCCGCUUCCGACCGAUCUAGCGGAAAGACGAAUUUCUUCGUUGGUUACGUGCCAUCGCUGGAGGAAUGUCUUUGAAAGCCACUCCCUGCGAAAAGAGGAAUAAAACUGGGAGGAAGAAGCUCGAAGGAUACUAAAGGCGAGAGCACGGUAGACGCGGAGAACUACAAAGCACACACUGUACAGGGGAGAUAGGAUACACGGUUUGCAGGCGUAUCGACUCGGCCAGCCUGGAACCAGUCAGGAAUCAGCCAGAAACCAGCCAGAAAUCAGGGAUAUUCGAUGGCUUAGCGUUGACACGAUAACACCGGUGUUGCGAAGCCAACGUCAAUGGUGACGAUUGCCGGACGAUGUCGCUGACAGCUUUAUAACGACACUGGAAAAUAAUCCGCGCUCUCCUGGAUCGACUACACCGAGCUGUUUAUUAUUCCAACCGACUCCCAGUGACAGACCUGCGAAUAAAGGCGAUCCCUGAAUACGUUUUUAGAUUACAGAUUACAUCGAAAACGAUUUGCACGUCGUUUGCAACUGCAACCAGAAUGUUUGCCGAAAAUUAGAUUAUCGCUUAAAUCGAGUUCAGUUUCCUUGAGCUCGAUUGAAAUAUCGAUAACGCGUCGGAAAAAUAAAUUGUUUAUUAUUUAUCGAUGUAAGCGUCCGGCUGUUAAGAAAUUUAAUUAUUUUGCAUAGAUAACAAACCACGUGUUCCAUAUUAUAUGAGUAGCGACGAAAGUGUGUGAUUUUUAGACCACAGACAGGCAGGAUGCUUGAAAAUUUAUCGAGAGUGGCAUUGGAAAAAAGCGGCACCGAUUAACGUGAAACCUUAGACGACAGACAGUAACCGAAAACCGUGAAACACAUGUUCGAUUCUCACAGCUCCAUUUUUUCGAGGUUGAUACCGCUCGCUACCAAGUUGUAUACGCAGUCUGGUUGGAGUACACACGAUGGUUUCGAGUGUUCGUCUACAAACAAAAUCCGGUAUGACACGCCAUAAGCUAUUGAUUUCAAUGGGGGUGGAGUUUCGGAGGGGGUGUACGUACAGUCGUGAAUUAACGUUUGGUGUAUCAUCCGCGUAUCUUAUUGUAAAAUAAUCAGUGUGCCAACCAGUGUGUUACAUUUAAAUAAAAAGGUGAUACAGGUGUAUUUUUGC
Molecule: long non-coding RNA, 1275 nt
Organism: Bombus impatiens (common eastern bumble bee)
Lineage: Eukaryota; Metazoa; Arthropoda; Insecta; Hymenoptera; Apidae
Exons: 3
Source: RefSeq, a predicted model, not a curated record